Molecule: non-coding RNA, 248 nt
Organism: Penaeus vannamei (Pacific white shrimp)
Lineage: Eukaryota; Metazoa; Arthropoda; Malacostraca; Decapoda; Penaeidae
Source: RefSeq, a predicted model, not a curated record
UUAAAUAUAAAUAGAAAAAUAUUCCAUAUUAUAGGAAGGUGAUGGUUCUGAUGGAGAGUGUUGUCAGUGGAUACAAGUUUACACGGAUAAGACCAAGAUUGGCGGAAAAAGCAGAAGUUAUCGCCUUUGACCCAUAUAUACAACAAGACAGUGUUUUCAAGGAGAAGAAACGAAUUAGAAGUAUGUAAAUGGCUUGUUUUAUAUCCAGUUAACCUAUAUAUGUACAUAAUAAACGUUUCUAAAAUUUA